Molecule: ribosomal RNA, 468 nt
Filed under: uncultured bacterium
Lineage: Bacteria
Description: partial 16S ribosomal RNA
Rfam family: Bacterial small subunit ribosomal RNA
Source: RNAcentral
GACGAACGCUGGCGGCGUGCUUAACACAUGCAAGUCGAACGGAAAGGCCCUGCUUUUGUGGGGUGCUCGAGUGGCGAACGGGUGAGUAAAACGUGAGUAACCUGCCCUUGACUUUGGGAUAACUUCAGGAAACUGGGGCUAAUACCGGAUAGGAGCUCCUGCUGCAUGGUGGGGGUUGGAAAGUUUCGGCGGUUGGGGAUGGACUCGCGGCUUAUCAGCUUGUUGGGGGGGUAGUGGAUUACCAAGGCUUUGACGGGUAGCCGGCCUGAGAGGGUGACCGGCCACAUUGGGCCUGCGAUACGCACCAGACUCCAACGGGAGGCAGCAGGGGGGAACAUUGCACAAUGGGCGGAAGCGUGAUGCAGCAAUGCCGCGUGCGGGAUGCCGGCUUUCGGGUUGUAAACCGCUUUCGCCUGUGACGAAGCGUGAGUGACGGUAAUUGGUAAAGAAGCACCGGCUAACUACGUG